CCUACGGGUGGCAGCAGUGAGGAAUAUUGGUCAAUGGCCGCGAGCCUGAACCAGCCAAGCAGCGUGAAGGAUGACUGUCCUACGGGUUGUAAACUUCUUUUAUAAAGGAAUAAAGUGAGGCUCGUGUGCCUUUUUGUAUGUACUUUAUGAAUAAGCAUCGGCUAACUCCGUGCCGGCAGCCGCGGUAAUACGGAGGAUCCGAGCGUUAUCCGGAUUUAUUGGGUUUAAAGGGAGCGUAGAUGGGUUGUUAAGUCAGUUGGGAAAGUUUGCGGGUCAACCGUAAAAUUGCAAUUGAUACUGGCAGUCUUGAGUACAGGUGAGGUAGGCGGAAUUCGGGGUGUAGCGGUGAAAUGCUUAGAUAUCACGAAGAACUCCGAUUGCGAAGGCAGCUUACUAAACUGCCACUGACAUUGAUGCUCGAAAGUGUGGGUAUCAAACAGGAUUAGAUACCCCUGUAGUC
This 460-nucleotide ribosomal RNA is filed under the name uncultured bacterium. RNAcentral's name for it is "partial 16S ribosomal RNA". It matches the Rfam family "Bacterial small subunit ribosomal RNA", at positions 338 to 795 of the family's 1533-position model. The record is from RNAcentral.